UACGUAGGGGGCAAGCGUUGUCCGGAAUCAUUGGGCGUAAAGAGCGUGUAGGCGGCCCGAUAAGUCCGCCGUGAAAGCCCAGGGCUCAACCCUGGGAUGCCGGUGGAUACUGUCGGGCUAGAAUCCGGAAGAGGAGUGUGGAAUUCCCGGUGUAGCGGUGAAAUGCGCAGAUAUCGGGAGGAACACCCGUAGCGAAGGCGGCACUCUGGGCCGGAACUGACGCUGAGGAGCGAAAGCGUGGGGAGCAAACAGG
Molecule: ribosomal RNA, 253 nt
Filed under: uncultured bacterium
Lineage: Bacteria
Description: partial 16S ribosomal RNA
Rfam family: Bacterial small subunit ribosomal RNA
Source: RNAcentral